UACCAUUCAGUGGGGGAUAACGUAGCGAAAGCUACGCUAAUACCGCAUAUUCUGUGAGCAGGAAAGCAGGGGAUCGCAAGACCUUGCGCUGAUUGAGCGGCCGAUAUCAGAUUAGCUUGUUGGUGAGGUAAAAGCUCACCAAGGCGACGAUCUGUAGCGGGUCUGAGAGGAUGAUCCGCCACACUGGAACUGAGACACGGUCCAGACUCCUACGGGAGGCAGCAGUGGGGAAUUUUGGACAAUGGGGGCAACCCUGAUCCAGCCAUGCCGCGUGAGUGAAGAAGGCCUUCGGGUUGUAAAGCUCUUUCAGCCGGGAAGAAAACGCAUGGGUUAAUACCCUGUGUGGAUGACGGUACCGGAAUAAGAAGCACCGGCUAACUACGUGCCAGCAGCCGCGGUAAUACGUAGGGUGCGAGCGUUAAUCGGAAUUACUGGGCGUAAAGCGUGCGCAGGCGGUUUUGUAAGACAGGCGUGAAAUCCCCGGGCUUAACCUGGGAACUGCGUUUGUGACUGCAAGGCUAGAGUACGGCAGAGGGGGGUGGAAUUCCACGUGUAGCAGUGAAAUGCGUAGAGAUGUGGAGGAACACCAAUGGCGAAGGCAGCCCCCUGGGUCGAUACUGACGCUCAUGCACGAAAGCGUGGGUAGCAAACAGGAUUAGAUACCCUGGUAGUCCACGCCCUAAACGAUGUCAACUAGGUGUUGGGAGGGUAAAACCUUUUAGUACCGGAGCUAACGCGUGAAGUUGACCGCCUGGGGAGUACGGCCGCAAGGUUAAAACUCAAAGGAAUUGACGGGGACCCGCACAAGCGGUGGAUGAUGUGGAUUAAUUCGAUGCAACGCGAAAAACCUUACCUACCCUUGACAUGCCAAGAACUUUCCAGAGAUGGAUUGGUGCCCGAAAGGGAACUUGGACACAGGUGCUGCAUGGCUGUCGUCAGCUCGUGUCGUGAGAUGUUGGGUUAAGUCCCGCAACGAGCGCAACCCUUGUCGUUAAUUGCCAUCAUUUAGUUGGGCACUUUAACGAGACUGCCGGUGACAAACCGGAGGAAGGUGGGGAUGACGUCAAGUCCUCAUGGCCCUUAUGGGUAGGGCUUCACACGUCAUACAAUGGUCGGUACAAAGGGUCGCCAAGCCGCGAGGUGGAGCCAAUCCCAGAAAGCCGAUCGUAGUCCGGAUCGCAGUCUGCAACUCGACUGCGUGAAGUCGGAAUCGCUAGUAAUCGUGGAUCAGAAUGUCACGGUGAAUACGUUCCCGGGUCUUGUACACACCGCCCGUCACACCAUGGGAGCGGGUUCCGCCAGAAGUAGGUAGCCUAACCGCAAGGAGGGCGCUUACCA
Molecule: ribosomal RNA, 1338 nt
Filed under: metagenome
Description: bacterial SSU rRNA
Rfam family: Bacterial small subunit ribosomal RNA
Source: RNAcentral